Molecule: ribosomal RNA, 428 nt
Filed under: uncultured bacterium
Lineage: Bacteria
Description: bacterial SSU rRNA
Rfam family: Bacterial small subunit ribosomal RNA
Source: RNAcentral
GUGGGGAAUAUUGCACAAUGGGCGAAAGCCUGAUGCAGCAACGCCGCGUGAAGGAUGAAGGGUUUCGGCUCGUAAACUUCUAUCAAUAGGGAAGAAAGAAAUGACGGUACCUAAAUAAGAAGCCCCGGCUAACUACGUGCCAGCAGCCGCGGUAAUACGUAGGGGGCAAGCGUUAUCCGGAAUUACUGGGUGUAAAGGGAGCGUAGGCGGCAUGGUAAGCCAGAUGUGAAAGCCUUGGGCUUAACCCGAGGAUUGCAUUUGGAACUAUCAAGCUAGAGUACAGGAGAGGAAAGCGGAAUUCCUAGUGUAGCGGUGAAAUGCGUAGAUAUUAGGAAGAACACCAGUGGCGAAGGCGGCUUUCUGGACUGAAACUGACGCUGAGGCUCGAAAGCGUGGGGAGCAAACAGGAUUAGAAACCCCAGUAGUCC